This 633-nucleotide ribosomal RNA is filed under the name uncultured bacterium. RNAcentral describes it as "SSU rRNA". It matches the Rfam family "Bacterial small subunit ribosomal RNA", at positions 242 to 891 of the family's 1533-position model. The record is from RNAcentral.
CAGCUAGUUGGUGAGGUAACGGCUCACCAAGGCGACGAUCGGUAGCUGGUCUGAGAGGAUGAUCAGCCACACUGGGAUUGAGAACGGCCCAGACUCCUACGGGGGGCAGCAGUGAGGAAUUUUCGGCAAUGGGGGCAACCCUGACCGAGCAACGCCGCGUGCAGGAGGACAGCCUUCGGGUUGUAAACUGCUCUUCUGGGGGACGAGCAAGGACGGUACCCCAGGAAGAAGCCCCGGCUAACUACGUGCCAGCAGCCGCGGUAAUACGUAGGGGGCAAGCGUUGUCCGGAGUUACUGGGCGUAAAGCGCACGCAGGCGGUCCACCGCGUAGGGGGUGACAGUCCUCGGCUUAACUGAGGAAGCGCUCUCUAAACGGGUGGACUUGAGGGCCAGAGAGGGACACGGAACUCCGGGUGGAGCGGUGAAAUGCGUAGAGAUCCGGAAGAACACCGAAGGCGAAGGCAGUGUCCUGGCUGGUUCCUGACGCUCAGGUGCGAAAGCUAGGGGAGCAAACAGGAUUAGAUACCCUGGUAGUCCUAGCCGUAAACGAUGACCACUAGGUGUGCGGAGUAUCGACCCUCUGCGUGCCGCAGUUAACACAAUAAGUGGUCCGCCUGGGGAGUACGGUCGCAA